RNAcentral lists this ribosomal RNA (492 nucleotides) under uncultured bacterium. Its description in RNAcentral is "partial 16S ribosomal RNA". It matches the Rfam family "Bacterial small subunit ribosomal RNA", at positions 29 to 507 of the family's 1533-position model. The record is from RNAcentral.
AGUGAACGCUGGCGGUAGGCCUAACACAUGCAAGUCGAACGGCAGCACAGUAAGAGCUUGCUCUUACGGGUGGCGAGUGGCGGACGGGUGAGGAAUACAUCGGAAUCUACUUUUUCGUGGGGGAUAACGUAGGGAAACUUACGCUAAUACCGCAUACGACCUACGGGUGAAAGCAGGGGAUCUUCGGACCUUGCGCGAUUGAAUGAGCCGAUGUCGGAUUAGCUAGUUGGCGGGGUAAAGGCCCACCAAGGCGACGAUCCGUAGCUGGUCUGAGAGGAUGAUCAGCCACACUGGAACUGAGACACGGUCCAGACUCCUACGGGAGGCAGCAGUGGGGAAUAUUGGACAAUGGGCGCGAGCCUGAUCCAGCCAUACCGCGUGGGUGAAGAAGGCCUUCGGAUUGUAAAGCCCUUUUGUUGGGAAAGAAAAGCAGCAGGUUAAUACCCCGCUGUUCUGACGGUACCCAAAGAAUAAGCACCGGCUAACUUCGUG